Molecule: non-coding RNA, 464 nt
Organism: Paramuricea clavata
Lineage: Eukaryota; Metazoa; Cnidaria; Anthozoa; Malacalcyonacea; Plexauridae
Source: the annotation of a GenBank genome assembly
AUAUAGUACAAUCAAAAUAGAAAAUAGGUCAGAAAAAAUUAGUAAAAAGCCAAAAAUUAGCGUAUGCACUCUCUUCAGCAACCUUGAUAACAUACUAAAAGUCCUCAUGUAUCCUCUUGGAGCUCUCCAUUAUGACAAGUUUUUUGUUCGAUUUCCCUAGUGAACUCCUAUAUUGUUAAAAAAUGUGAAAUUUCAGAUUCAUUUAUAGGAAAAAUAAGUUACAUCAUUAGAAAACUUACAAAAAACUACAUAUAAGACAUUUAAACGGCUACCUUGAUUUUGCAAGUUCUUCUUGAGUUAUGAGCUGUUGGAAACGUGUUGUCAGACUAGUACCCAGGAUUUUUGCCAGAUUUUGGCCGAUUUGUCACAUUUGGAACAGCAAUAACUCGAAAACCACUUGAAAAAUUUAGGUGACUGUUUAAAUGUCUUAUAUGUAGUUUUUAUAAGCUUUCUAGUGAUGCGAG